CGCUGCAUCACGGGAGAGCGUCGCCGCCCACGCCUCGGAUACGAGGUCACGCGGUGACCGCCGAAGGAGCAAUACCUCUCCGUCAAACUCUCAGGCACCCUGGACCGUGAUGGACGA
Molecule: non-coding RNA, 117 nt
Filed under: Gordonia polyisoprenivorans
Lineage: Bacteria; Bacillati; Actinomycetota; Actinomycetes; Mycobacteriales; Gordoniaceae
Also listed under: 1 other name
Description: Glycine sequence
Rfam family: Glycine riboswitch aptamer
About the family: This family represents the bacterial glycine riboswitch. Glycine riboswitches usually consist of two metabolite-binding aptamers domains with similar structures in tandem.
Source: RNAcentral